This 497-nucleotide ribosomal RNA is filed under the name uncultured bacterium. Its description in RNAcentral is "partial 16S ribosomal RNA". It matches the Rfam family "Bacterial small subunit ribosomal RNA", at positions 28 to 507 of the family's 1533-position model. The record is from RNAcentral.
GAUGAACGCUGGCGGCGUGCCUAAUACAUGCAAGUCGAGCGAACAGACGAUGAGCUUUCGCCUUUGACGGUAGCGGCUGACGGGUGAGUGACGCGUGGAUAGCCUACUUAUUAUACGUGGAGAAUUUCGGGAAACCGCUGCUGCUACUAGCGCAUAUAUUCAACCGGAGGGUUCAGUAGUGAAACGGAGCUUUCGCGUUACUUAUAGCUGCAUUCGGGCCGCAUUGGCGAGUUGGUAAGGUAACGGCUUACCAACGCAACGAGGCUUAGCUGAGCUGAGAGGAUGAUCAGCCACACUGGAACUGAGACACGGUCCAGACUCCUACGGGAGGCAGCAGUAGGGAAUAUUGGACAAUGGGCGCAAGCCUGAUGGAGCAACACCGCGUGAGUGAUGAAGGCCUUCGGAUCGUAAAGCCCUGUUAUUAGGAAAGAAAAAAAGUGUAAGAAAAUCUCCACGUCUUGACGGUACCCAAACAGAAAGCAACGGCUAACUUCGUG